RNAcentral lists this ribosomal RNA (497 nucleotides) under uncultured bacterium. RNAcentral's name for it is "partial 16S ribosomal RNA". It matches the Rfam family "Bacterial small subunit ribosomal RNA", at positions 28 to 507 of the family's 1533-position model. The record is from RNAcentral.
GAUGAACGCUGGCGGCGUGCCUAAUACAUGCAAGUCGAGCGAACAGACGAGGAGCUUGCUCCUCUGACGUUAGCGGCGGACGGGUGAGUAACACGUGUAUAACCUACCUAUAAGACUGGGAUAACUUCGGGAAACCGGAGCUAAUACCGGAUAAUAUAUUGAACCGCAUGGUUCAAUAGUGAGAUACGGUUUUGCUGUCUCUUAUAGAUGGAUCCGCGCCGCAUGAGCUAGUUGGUAAGGUAACGGCUUACCAAGGGAACGAUGCGUAGACGACCUGAGAGGGUGAUAGGCCACACUGGAACUGAGACACGGUCCAGACUCCUACGGGAGGCAGCAGUAGGGAAUCUUACGCAAUGGGGGAAAGCCUGACGGAGCAACGCCGAGUGAGUGAUGAAGGUCUUCGGAUCGUAAAACCCUGUUAUUAGGGAAGAACAAAUGUGUAAGUAAAUAUGCACGUCUUGACGGUACCUAAUCAGAAAGCCACGGCUAACUACGUG